GUUCAAGAGUACGUGAAACCGUUCAGGGGUAAACCUGAGAAACCYAAAAGAUCGAAUAGGGAGAUUCAUCGUCAGCAUGUUUUGUAUAUGUAUGAGUUAUGAUGCGGGUUACUUUUGUAUUGCUUGCACAUUCUUGUAUAUUUAGUUGCGAAAUAUGUCGGCGUGCACUUCUCCCUUAGUAGAACGUCGCAACCCGUUGAAUGUUGGUUUAUGACCCGAGUGGGAGCCUUUAACGUUUUUAACAUUGAAGACCCUUGGUGUUCUAACUAACUGUUCGACGGUACUCAUAUGGU
This 293-nucleotide ribosomal RNA is filed under the name Spathius opis. RNAcentral describes it as "partial 28S ribosomal RNA". The record is from RNAcentral. Lineage: Eukaryota; Metazoa; Arthropoda; Insecta; Hymenoptera; Braconidae.